This is a non-coding RNA of Felis catus (domestic cat), 85 nucleotides long. NCBI's taxonomy places the organism in Eukaryota, Metazoa, Chordata, Mammalia, Carnivora, Felidae. The record is from Rfam.
ACCUGGGUGGCUCAGUCAGUUAAGCAUCUGAUUUUGGCUCAGGUCAUGACCUUGCGAUCCGUGAGUUCAAGUCCCACGUCGGGUU